RNAcentral lists this ribosomal RNA (465 nucleotides) under Vreelandella stevensii. RNAcentral describes it as "partial 16S ribosomal RNA". It matches the Rfam family "Bacterial small subunit ribosomal RNA", at positions 338 to 795 of the family's 1533-position model. The record is from RNAcentral. Lineage: Bacteria; Pseudomonadati; Pseudomonadota; Gammaproteobacteria; Oceanospirillales; Halomonadaceae.
CCUACGGGGGGCUGCAGUGGGGAAUAUUGGACAAUGGGGGCAACCCUGAUCCAGCCAUGCCGCGUGUGUGAAGAAGGCCCUCGGGGUGUAAAGCACUUUCAGUGAGGAAGAACGCCUGGUGGUUAAUACCCAUCAGGAAAGACAUCACUCACAGAAGAAGCACCGGCUAACUCCGUGCCAGCAGCCGCGGUAAUACGGAGGGUGCGAGCGUUAAUCGGAAUUACUGGGCGUAAAGCGCGCGUAGGUGGCUUGAUAAGCCGGUUGUGAAAGCCCCGGGCUCAACCUGGGAACGGCAUCCGGAACUGUCAAGCUAGAGUGCAGGAGAGGAAGGUAGAAUUCCCGGCGUAGCGGUGAAAUGCGUAGAGAUCGGGAGGAAUACCAGUGGCGAAGGCGGCCUUCUGGACUGACACUGACACUGAGGUGCGAAAGCGUGGGUAGCAAACAGGAUUAGAUACACGAGUAGUC